Molecule: long non-coding RNA, 202 nt
Filed under: Mytilus galloprovincialis (Mediterranean mussel)
Lineage: Eukaryota; Metazoa; Mollusca; Bivalvia; Mytilida; Mytilidae
Source: RNAcentral
GCAGAAUAUAUUGAACAUAGUACAUUAAGAUUGUUUGCAGAUGAUAGCAUUAUUUAUAGGGAAAUUAAAAAACCAGAUGACACACUUAAAUUACAGUCUGACUUAGAAGCGGCCGGCAGGUGGGAGCAGGACUGGCUCAUGCAUUUUCACCCUGAUAAGUGCAACAUUCUCAGUGUAACUCAAAAACGGAAACCUUUAGACU